CGGCGGACGGGUGAGUAAUGCCUAGGAAUCUGCCAGGUAGUGGGGGACAACGUUUCGAAAGGAACGCUAAUACCGCAUACGUCCUACGGGAGAAAGCAGGGGACCUUCGGGCCUUGCGCUAUCAGAUGAGCCUAGGUCGGAUUAGCUAGUUGGUGAGGUAAUGGCUCACCAAGGCGACGAUCCGUAACUGGUCUGAGAGGAUGAUCAGUCACACUGGAACUGAGACACGGUCCAGACUCCUACGGGAGGCAGCAGGU
RNAcentral lists this ribosomal RNA (257 nucleotides) under uncultured Pseudomonas sp. Its description in RNAcentral is "partial 16S ribosomal RNA". It matches the Rfam family "Bacterial small subunit ribosomal RNA", at positions 96 to 354 of the family's 1533-position model. Lineage: Bacteria; Pseudomonadati; Pseudomonadota; Gammaproteobacteria; Pseudomonadales; Pseudomonadaceae. The record is from RNAcentral.